GGAGUGCCCUGGGGCAGGGCUGGGAAUGAGAGGGUGACCCUGGAGAGGAGCAGCGUGCAGGGGCCAGCAGGUGGAGAAGGUACAAAGAAACCCAAGGCCCUUAACGUGGGCAGCUCUGGGAAGCUUUAGGUGAAGUUAAGGCAAAGCUCACGCCUCCCAUAUUCCAGGAGGCAAAGAGAUCUCCCAGCUAGGGGGCUCAUCUUUCAUUCCAAAGAGCCUGUAUUUACUGGGGAUUUUCUAUACGUAAGACUCUGGUCUGCUUGGGAUACUAACAAGCAAACAAGGCCCAUUCCUGAAAUGCAAAGGUUUACACCUUACUGAGAAAGUUGAAGCUCAAAGAAAUAUAGGACAGCAAGCACCAAAUGUCAAAAAACAUUCAAGCAAAUGCUCCAGGAGCCGAAGGAGAAGAGGGCCUGGAGCGGUUGGGAAAGGUAUCAGGAGGAGUAGGACCCUCGGUAGGCUCUUAAACAAAGGAAAGGCAGUGGCAGAGGACGUUGAGGGUGUUCAUGCUGUGGCUGGGGUGGCAGGUCAGUUUCUCUGGAGCACAGAAGAUGCUGGGGAAUGUGGGAAAUAGUACAGGUUGGUGAAUGGUAGGGUAAUGAAUUCGGGUUGUACUCUGAAUCGAGUGGUGAUAAGAUUUUCUUCAACAGGAGAAUGUACAAAAAAUGGUAUUUUGUCGGUUUUAGAAUCAAAAAUAUGUUCAAAUCCUGGCUUAUUACACUUUUAUAAGAUGAUACCAGUAAUUACUGUAUGAGGGAGCUGUAAGGAUGAAGCACUUGGAACUUAAUAGAGGUUGCUUGUGAGUUUCCUUCAGAAGGUAGAGAAUAAUGACCAGAAGAGGCAGAGAUGAGUUGGGAGACUAUUGCAAUACGUCACUUCAAGAAAAUAAUGAGUGCAAUAAUAGUUAACACUUAUGGAAUGCCUGCUACACGGACCAGCCAUGGGCUAAGCACUUUACCUGAAUUCUGUCUCAUUUAAUCCUGAUCGAAAAACCCUACAGAACAGUUACAGUUAUUUCAAUUUAGGAAAAGGAGGUGACAGUUCUGAGGAAGGGUAUGGCUGAUAAGUGGCAUGCCUAGAACAAUAUGGCCUCAGAACCCAUUUUUUUUUUUUUUUUUUAAGAUGACCUGAAAGGUAAGAGACAGUGGUAUCAAAGAAGGAGGAAAGGCCAACUCAGAAAGAGGAAUGGCUGUCUUCACAGAACCGGAGUCAUCAGGAAAAGGAAGUGGCUUGGGGGAGAUGACAGAAGUUGAGUUUGGGGCUUGCUGAGGUUGGAAGUGACCACCAGUCACUGAGAUGGGUACAGAAAUGAGUUCGGAAGAGGGUGAAGCAAGGAUAUGCUGGAACUCUUCAGGUCAAGUACAAUAUUUGAAUCUGAAAGGGAAGAAUAAAAAAGAACAAAAGACAACAGGCCCCAUCUUGGGGCAUCUGUGAAGAGCAAUUACAGGAGUCUGAAGAAGAGUCUAGAAGACUGAAGAGCCAGGAUAGAGGAGUGCCAGGUGAAGGGUUGGAGAGCCCCUGAGAGAUGGGAGGGGUCGGCAGUCUCAGGAGAUCAAAGGGGCUAAAGACUGGCAAACACCACUGAAUGGCUCACAGUCCAGCAGGAUGGGAGAGAUAGGUCAUCGUGGUUACAGAAGUUAUGACACAGAUGAGGACAAGGCCUUGUUCUCACUGAAGAAAGACAAUGAACAGCCCAAUUUUGGAAGAUUUGGGAGUGGAUAUUUUCCAGUGUGUAUUGGGGAGGGAAAUGAAGCGGACGGGCCUGGGCUUUUCUUUGUUUUUUUGAGGCAGGGUCUUGUUAUGUAGUUGUCUGGCCUUGAACUCACUGUGUAGGCCCUGCUGGCCUGGAACUUGUAGUGAGCCUCUUGCCUCAGCCUCCUGAGUGCUGGGAUACGUGUGCCCACUACCUGGCCUAGCAAACUCAUGUCCUCUACCUAAUGCCAAAUGCUCUUGACCAGCAAAUGAUGUUACAGAGCUAGAGCAGUCCGCCAUGAGCCAGCUACCAGGGAGGGGUACUAGAUGUGGAUUGGCAGUAGGUAACUGCAAACAAGAAAAAGAACAGGCUGACAAGAGUGAAUGGGUACUUAUCAAAUGAGUUCCUAAGGUAGUUCUUAGUAAGAGGAAGGUCCACAAACCAUUGUGAAGUCACUUCAAAAAUUAACAACAGUUUAGGCUUUAGAAUAAUACCAGACAAUGGAGUCACCAGAGCUGACUUCUGGGCCUUCAAUGAUCAUGAUAAGUAUGAGAUAAAAGAGAAAAAAGGCUGAGUGUGGUGGUACAUGCUUUGUAACCCCAGCAACACUCAGGAGGUUGAGGCAGGAGGAUCACCAUGAGUUUAAGGCCAGCCUGGACUACACAUGAGACCUUGUCUCAAAAACCAAACCAAAACCAACACAAAACAGAACAACCAAAGCAGAAGAGAGCCCAUGAUUUAAAGCCUGGAAAUCACUAACUUCCGUGUGCUUUCAUCAAGUCAGUCUCUUUGAGUCUUUGUUUCCUCUUGUGUAAAAUGAAACUGAUAUCCCCUGUCUUCUUCAACUCAUAGAGACCCAAGAAUGGUUAGGACUCACUUUUUAAAAUGAUAUGGUCAAGUGACCAAAUGUCAAGGAAAACUUAUAUAUUGAGGACUUACAAAUUCCCAGCUUGACCCUCAUUUUGUAUUGUUUCUCUCUGUGAAUCUUGGGUCAGAUCUCUUCUCAACUGUGCAUAUCAACUGAUCAUUUUGGAGGUGUCUAUCUAGAGGCUGGCUGAACUGUUGAUUUGCCCUGGAAUUUACACGAUUUCAUCCCCCUUCAAGAUUAGGGGAACCAAAAGAAGAGGUUUACAGGGAUAUUCAGCUAUACCCAGAAGCCUUGAAUCACGGUUCUAAUCCUGUGAUCACCUGAAUUCCAAGAAAGGAGGAGCCAGGGCCUCCACCACAGAGACCAUCGUGUUCUAUGGACACAACCAUCCCUCAACGGAGAAGAUUCCAGAGCCAUGGUACCAGAGCUGAGACCAAGUGGAGUCCAGCCCACUUCCUAAUCUUUGAAAACUGGCCUGCUCCCUUUGUGGAUGAGCCAGUCUGAAUCCCAGUGAGAGUGUGCCCCCUCCAGCUACUUAUGCUGGAGGCCUUUCCUCUAACUUUCCAAUUAAUUUUUUUAUCUGUUAAAAAAAACAAAAACCGGGUCAAUCCCCGGUACCGAUAAAAAGGAAGAAGAUGGGGAUUUAGCUCAGUGGCACAAGCGCCUGCUUUGCAAGCACAUGGUCAUGAGUUUGAUCCCCAGUACCGAUUAAAAAAACAAAAACAAAAACCUAUGAUAUUGAUAAUCUUAUCAAGUAAUAUUAUAUCACUGCCAGAGCUUACUGUUUCCUCCACUUCUUAUUUAUUUAUUGAGUACACAUUUAUUGUGUAUCUCCUGAGUGCUUUUUUUUUUCUUUUUAAAGUAGAAAGAAUUUAUUUAUUUAUUUAUUUUUGUCUUUUUCAUUUUUAUCGGUACCAGGGAUCGAACUCAUUACCACCUGCUUGCAAGGCAGGUACUUAUGCCGCUGAGGUAAAUCCCCAGCCCCGAAAGAAUUUAUUGAGAGAAAGAAAAUUUCUAAGAGGAACAGAAAGAGCCCCAGAAGUGAGUUUGCCUAUGUUUUCCUUUUUUGAGACAGGGCCUUGCUAUAUAGUUCAAGCUGCCUUGUACUCACUAUGUAGUCCAGGCUGUUGGGAUCACUGAACUCACAGUGAUCCCCCUGUCUCAGCCUUCUGAGUGCUAGGAUUACAUGCCACUAUGCCCAGUUUUGAAAGCUAAAUAUUGCAAGAGAUGCUGGGGAUAUGAAGAAGAUUCAUGCAGAGUUUCUGCUUGUAGAGGUCAGUUGGGAGAUAGACAAUUAGAAGUUAACACAAAUAUGUGCUGAGAGAGAAAACAGUGAAUUAUGGGAGCAGAGAAGAGGAAACUACAGAUUGUCUAGAGAUGGCAGGAGGUAAGAGGAGCCGUAACUGACCAGCAGGCAUUUGCCAUAUAGAGCGGGAGGAGCUGUUUGCACAAAGGAACAGAUAUGAAGGGAUAACAAAAGACUGGUAGUAACACCAAGACAUUAUUGUCUUUUUUAAUUCCUCUCAUGAGAAUACUGUGGUUUCCAGAGGUUUUGUGAUUCAUCGCCACAGAUUCAAUACAGAAGCAGAUACAAGAAUACAAUUUUAGGCUGGGGAUAUAGCUCAGUGGCACAGUGCCUGCCUGGCAAGCACAAGGUUGUGAGUUUGAUCCUGGCAAGCACAACCGCAGAUUUUCAAAAAUAUGGAAUAAUACCAUUCUUCUCAUUAAGCUUUUUUCUUUGUUUUGGAAGAUAUGGAUAUUUUCCAUAACAAUGUUUUAAAUGUUAACAGGCCUAUUUGUUAAUUAAUUAAUAUGUAAAUGUUUUUAAAUUUCUCAGUUUUGAUUCCUAGGAUAAUUACUGAUAAAUAAUUCACAUAAACAUAAGCUCGAGUCCUCAAUAAUUUUUGAGAGUGUAAAGAGGGUCCUGAAACUCAAAGUUUUUGUUUUUUGGGGUACUGGGAAUCAAACUCAGGAUGUCACAUUUGCCAGGCAGGCACUGUGCUAUUGAGCUAAAUCCCCAACCUGAAACCCAGAAUUUUGAUAAUUCUGUUCCAGGCAGUGGGGCAUUACCUACCUCUGUCUGUCUGUCUGUCUGUCUGUCUGUCUUUGUUGGGGAUGGAACCCAGGGCCUCGUGUAUGCUAGGCAAGUGCUCUACCACAGAGCUAUACCUGCAGCCCAUGGAAAGGAUUUUAAUAGAGGAAUGACGUGACAGCAUUUGACUUCAUUCGAUAAAUAAAUUCAACAAAUAUUUGAAUUUGCCUUAGCCUCCGGAGUAUGGGAUCAGAGGUAUGUGGGACCACAUCCAGCCUUCAACAAAUAUUUAUUAAAUGGGUGCUUUGUGUUGAAUACUAUCCUACUGCUGGCAUAGAGCAGUAAACAUCAGAUAAAACUCCCUGUUUUUACAUAACUGAAAUCCUGAUAGGGGUGACAGACCACAAACAAAAUAAUUUAAAAAUAUGUUUAGAUAGUGACUGUGGAGAAAACCAGGGAACCAGGACAUGAAAUGUGAGGUGUGUGUGUGUAUGUGAGAGAGAGAAAGAGAGAGAGAGAGAGAGAGAGAGAGAGAGAGAGAGAGAGAGAGAGAGAGAAAGAGAGAGAGAGAGUGUCUGUCUGUCUGUGAAAUUUAGGAUCAAGUGGCUGGGAAGACCUCAGUUAAGAAAGUGAACGUUUUGCAAAGAAUGGAAGGAGUAAGGCAGUGGAUCAUGCAGCUUUCAAGAGAAAAAUGUUUAGGAAGAGGAAAUAGCAAGUAUGAAAUUCUGGAGACGAGCAUGUCUGGCAGGUUUGGAGGACAACUCGGAGCCCGGCGUGGCCAGCAUGGAAGAGGAGGCGUAGGAGAAGAGGAAGGUUACAGAGGUGGAAGGUUCUGAGACAUCUGCUUUGCAGCAGCAGCCUCGCUGUGGUUGCUGGGCAGGGGAAGGUUGAGGCCAUGGUAGCUGGGAGGUGCUGCCUUCCUCCAGGCGCAAGAUAAAUGACCUGGGCCCGCGAACAAGGGGAUAUAGUGAGGGUCUAGCUGGAUUCUUGGUACAGUCUGAAGGUAGAACUAACAAAAUUUGGCAAUGGGUUUAAUAUGAAGUAUGAAGAAGAGAGGAAAACCAAAUGAUGCCAAACUUCUUACCUGAGCAACUAGAAGAAGAGUUGCCUUUAUCAGACACAAGAUGAGAAAGGUGGGUUUGCAUAAAAAUAUCAAGAGCUCAGUUUGGACCUCCCUCCACCCCCAGUUAGAGACACAUUAAGUAGGAGACGUCUAUCAAACACCCAAGUGGACAGGGCAAGCGGGCCAUGUGAUAUGUGGCCUGAGUCCAAGACAGAGGUCAAAUGGAAUGGAAUUGGGAGGUUCUCAGAAUAAAGACAAUAUUUAAAAGUUCAGGGACCAGAAGAAAUGACUUGGGAAAUAAGUGAAUGUAAAAAAGAGCUCUAAUGACUGGGUCCAAGGAAAGCUGUAAUAUUUAGAGAUUAGAAAAAUGAAGGGGAAUCAGCAAAAGAUGUGGAGAAGGAACAGUCAAAAUGAAGAAAACUCAGGGAGAAAUCCUGGAAGCCAAGUGAAGAAAGUGUUUUAAGAAAAGGAGGAGUAAUUGGGGGCUGGGGAUUUAGCUCAGCGGCAUAAGCACCUGCCUUGCAAGCAGGCGGUCGUGAGUUUGAUCCCUGAUGCCGAUUAAAAAAAAAAAGGGAAAAGGAGGAGUAAUUAACCGUGUCAUGAAGAUCAACUAAUAGGAAGAUCAAGAAAAGCUUAUUAAGCUGUGCAUGAUGGAGGACACUUGUCAUCCUCGCACCCAGGAGGCUGAGGCAGGGAUAUCACUGCAAGCAGACUACAGCAAUAACAAAAGGUAUUGCAAGAAUCCUAUAAACGUUAUGAAUCAGCUGCUCUGUGGAAGGUUCUGUGCUGAAUGAGACAGUCUUCAAGUAAAAAAGCUAUGACUGAGCACACUUAAGAUGUGACAAAUAACCACAACUUGUCACACCGGGCUGUAGGGUUGUGGAGGGAGUGAGGUCACUCUGCCUGGGGAGCUCAGGGAGAUGAAGGAAGGCUCCUAAGGGAUGUCACUUUUGAGAUAUGCUGUUUUAUAUGUAUUGUACUACUAGCAUUACUAUACUGUACUUAAAAACUAGAAACAACAGAAGACUAUCGUAAAAUUUUAACUGGUAGAGAACGCAGGGUAAACUGGGAGUGGUAACCCCCACCUGUAAUUUGAACACUCUAGGAGGUUGAGGCAAGAGAGUCAUAAAUUGAAACCCAAUUUAGCAAUUUAGCAAAACACUGUCUCAAAAUAGAAAAUAAAAUAAAAAGGACUGGGGGUAUAGCUCAGUAUAAAAGCUCUGGGUUGUUCAAUACCCAGUGUGGGGGGGAAAAAAAAAAGGACAGUAAAGGCACUGGUGGAAGGGUCUGAAUGUUCAUGUUCAGGAUCCAGUAAAGUCUCAAUUAUAGCUCAAUACCUCAUGCUGGUCUCAGGAUCCAGCCCCAAAUGACCUGCGGGACCUGCCAAUUGUGUUUUUCCCAUGAGAGAUAUGCAAAGCCGUGCAUCUACAAUGGAGCACUGUGCACUUAUUUUAAAAAAUGAGGAAGUACUUUAUGACUUAGGAAAUUAUUUCCAAAUUGUAACGUAAAAUGGAAGAAAAUCAAGGUGCAGAAUUCUGUACUUGGUAUGCCACUAUUGAUAUGAUACUGGGAAAAAAGAAUGAAUGUGUAUGUCCAAUUGCUUGUUUACAAGAAGCAGAUACAGCAAUUAAUUGUCCCCUGGAGGGGAGUUAUGUGGCUUCUGGACAAGGUGGGAGGGAGAGUUUCACUGUAUAUCUUUUUUCAUCGUUUCAGGUUAUUUGUUGUUGUUUGGCUUUUUUUGUCUUUUUGAGACAGGGUCUUGCUAUGCAGUUCAGGCUGGGCUUGAGCUCACUUUGUAGCCCGUGCUGGUCUCGAACUGGCAAUGAUUCCCCGGUCUCAGCCUCCCAAGUGCUGGGAUUACAGGAGUGAGCCACCACACCCAGCCUUUCAGUUUUUAAUCAUGAGACAUUUUUAAAAGUAAGUAUUGUAAGGUAUGAUGGUGCACACCUGUGAUUCCUGCACUCGAGGCUGAGGCAGAAGAACCACUACAAGUUUGAGGCCGUCCUGGAUGACACAGUGAGUUCAAGGCAGGUCUGAACUUCAUAAUGAGACCCUGUCUCAAAACAAAAACAAAAACCAGAAUAACAACCUAAAAAUAAAAGCCUAAAAUAAUUAAAUAAAUGGAUGAAUGAAUUUAACUGUAAUCAUGUCUAAAGACCAUAGAAAAGAGGCCAGAAUGUAUUCAAAUAUAGCAUAAGCUAUGGCAGUUUAUUUAGGUGGCAGUUUAAAAAAAUCCAGACCUUCAUCUUGACAGCAAAGAAAUGGAGUUAUUAGAAAUAAAGUUAUAAGAAACUUCCCAAAAAUUAAUUUAAAUGUUUGCUUUCAAUUUUUUAAAACUUAAAAACAGCUCUAAUCAAUAAGAAAAAGACCUGUAACUCAAUUCAAAAUGGCAAAUAGAUAAAUUGGGCUUUAUGUAAAUAGAAAUAUAAGUGGGUUUUAUAGUGAUCUUUUAAAUAACUAUCCUCAUUUGUUAAGAAAGAAAAGCGAAUUAAAACAGUGGGCUGCUGACUGUGAUGGUGCACACCUGUAAUCCCAGCACUUGGGAGGCUGAGGCAGGAGAUCACUGCAAAUUUGAGGCCAGUCUGAGCUCACAGUGGGCUCAAGGCCACUUGAACUAAAUAGUGAGACCCUGCUCAAAAACUGAACAAAACAAUGAGCUGCUUCUUUUUCACCAAACUGCAAAUACCAAUUACUAAAAGUCAGUUGUGACUGAGUGUUCAAGAGAGCGUGGUAGAACACUUGUCCCAGGGGCUGUGGUACUGUCGUACAAUGACCACUCUGGAGCAUGGCGGAGCAGUCCCUGGCUACGUUGCAGAUGGGCAUCCUUCAACCCAUAAUUCUGACUUGGAGAAUUUGUCUGACAUGGAGACCUUGCAUGUGUACAGAGACAAGUACAGUCUGUACAAUCAUUUGUCGCAGUAUUCUUCGUCAUUACAAAAGAUGGAAACCUAGCUAUUUUCCAGCUGAGAAAGUGCUACAUCAAAUAGGAACCCAAAGGAGCUGUGGUGAAGAAUGAUGUGGCUCCGUGUUUUCUUCUGAUAGACCUCAGCAUAGGCCUUUCUUCAUCUCUGACUUGGACUACAGCAGGAGCUCCCGCCAUCUCCUCGCCUUCCCUGUGCCCUCUUCUAGGACCUGCUAGGUAAUUUAUAAGGCCCAGUGCAAAACAGAAAUGCAGGAACCUUUGUUAAAAAUAGUGAGGGUAUCAAUACGGUGGUGGCAGAGCAUUAAGACAAGUGUGGGGGUGGCUGGGGGUUUAGCUCAGCGGCAUAAGCGCCUGCCUUGCAAGCAGGCAGUCCCGGUACCGAUAAAAAGGAAAAACACACACAAAAAAAAAAAAAAAAAAAAAAAAGACAAGUGUGGGGCCUUGUGUGACUACAAAGGUCACAAGCGCAUGAAGCUGGCCCUGCCCCUUGAAUGACGCUCAGACACCACCAUCCCUUUUUCUGUAUUGUGUGAUACCUGCUUGUCAAGAAACAACUUCAGAGUGACCUGCGUUACCAAACUCUCCUUGAACCCUUUCAAGUCAUUCUUUAUCAGCUUCUCGGCUCUUCCACAGCUUUUUUUUUUUUUUUUUUUCUGAGACAGUAUCUCAUGUAAUUUAGACAGGCCCUGUACUCACUGUGAGCCUCCUGCCUCGGCUUCCUGAGUGCUGGAAUUACAGGUGUUUGUCAUCCUGCCCAGCUCUCUUUAUCAUAUUUUCCUCUCUCUCUGGUCCCUCACUCUAGGUCCAUUGCUAGUUCAGACAGGGUCGAGGCUGACCUUGAACUCACUAUGUAGCCCAGGCUGACCUAAAACUUGUGAUGAUCCUCUUGCCUCAGCCUCUAGUGCUGGGACCAUAGAUGUAUGUCAACAUGUUUGGCUCAACUGAUCUUUUACAUAUAGAAGUUUCUCAGGGCAGCUACCAGCCUCUUCUCUCUCUCUAUUCUUUUCACACUAAGAGGUUUCAUCCAUUGCUACAGUUUCAAAUACUAUCUGUGGCUCAACAACCCCCCAGUUUUUAUUUCUAACCUGGGUCUUGAUCCCACACUCCUAGAUCAGACUGUUUCCUCCACACCUAUCCUUGGCUCUCCUGGGAUUCCUAACUGGCAAGGGAACAAAGCCAAGCUCAUGAUGCUCCCUCUCAUGCUCUUGUCUUCCCACAGUUUAGGGGUAGGUCUCCGUCUCCCCGGUACUCAUCCCAGAGCUCCAGGAGCAUCUCUGGUAACUCUGUUUCCCCCUUGGGGGCCACUCAAUAGUUUAUCCUUACCGAUUCUGCCUCAUGCAAGAUUCCCCCAGGCCUCCAGGCGAGGCUACACGCACCAACCUCUCCCUUCACACAGCACCUGGUACCUCACAGUACCUCUCUACAUGUUUAUGUUGUACUUAAUUUGUGUAGUCCCAUCUCCCCCUCUACAUGACAGACUCUAUCAGUACAAGGGUCACGUCUGACUUGCUUCUGCCAUAUAGUAGGUGCUCAACAUAUAUAUACAUGUAUAUAAUAAAGUACAUAUAAACUGUAUAUAAUAUAUAAUACAUAAUAUAUGUGUAUAUAUGUAUUAGUCCUAUAUACAUAUAUUAUUCCUAUAUUUUCUAGGCUGGCCUUGAACUCACUAUAUAGUCCAGACUGGCCUCGAAGUUUCGGGGAUCCUCUUGCCUCAGCCUCCUGAGUGCGGAGAUUACGGGUUUGCGCUAUCACGCCCAACUCAACAAAGAGCAAAUGUGUUUAUGGCAGGAUUUAUGUAACGCCUGUGCUGUGUGCACAGUAGGGGGCAGCAGAGUAUAGGUGAUGGAAAGAGUCCAGUCCUCAGGUUUUGGUUUGUUUUUUGGUUUUUUGUUUUGUUUCUCCGGUUUGGUUUUUUGGAUUUGAAUGGAACUCUAGACCACGCGUUUGCCAGGCAGGCGCUGUGCUCAGGCUUAAAUUUAAGGAUAACUUUAGACAAGUCACUUAACCUUCCGGAGACCCUAUUUCCUUCCCUGGAAGUCAGAGCCAGUUCUCCUUCCCUUUGAUCAGAGGAGGUAAUUAGAUGCAGAAGGGCUGCACACAGGCCGGAGAGUUUUAUCCCAGCUAAGAUAAAUAUUUGUUGCUCGCACGGAGACAGACGAAGAGGACCCAGGUUUUGUGACUUUGGAACAGAUUUGCGUAAAGGCUCGACCCAUUCCGAGAGCGAGACCGCCCAAAGUCCAGAGCCAGCCUGAGGCUCGGCUGUGGGGUCAGCGCCCUGCGGGUGGGCCGGCAGCUCUGCCCCCUCCCUGCCCGCGGCGUCCCUGCGCUGCCCCCAGGGCGCUCUCCUUUGCCUCCCCCAGGCGUAGAGGGUGCUCGCUGCCUGCCCUCACAGCUCUCUCCCUUUCCUCCCCGGCAUAGACGCUGCUCCCUGCAGUCCGCAUACAACCAGGUUGAAGGUUCCCAGUCACAGGAGCAGGCCUUCCGGAGACAGAGGAAAUAGCCGGCUCAAGAGGAGAAAAUUCCAGGAUCUCAGCAAGUUGCCCAUGUUUGACAAAGGUGCCAAACACAUUCACUGGAAGAAAGAUAGCCUCUUUAAUAAAUGGUGCUGGAAAAGCUGGCUCUACACACAUGGAAGAUUAAAACUGAACCCAUAUAAAAUCCGAAUGGAUCAAAGAUCUAAAUAUUAAGACAGAAAUAUUAAAUGUGCUGGAAGAGAGAGUUAGGUAAAGCUCUUGAAGACAUUGGUGUAAACAAAGACUAUGAACAAAACUCCGAUUGCACAGGAACUAUUAUGAAGAAUCAACAACUGAGAUCUCACCUUACUAAAAAGCUUUUGCACAGCAAGAGAAACCACCAAUAGAGUGAAGAGACAACCCACAAUGUGGGAGAAAAGUUUGCCAGCUGUUCCUCAGACAAAGCAUUACUAUUGAGAACAUAUAAAGAACUCAAAACAAUCAGUCCUCCCAGAUUUAAAGACCCAAUCCAAAAAUGGGCAUCUGAGAUGAAUACACACUUCUCAGAUAAAGAAAUACAGACAGCAAAUAAAUAUGUGAAAAAAUGUUAAAUAUCAUUGGUCACUUGAGAGAUGCAAAUUAAAGCAACACAGAUUCCCUUCACCCCAGAAAGAAUGGCUAUUAUCAAGAAAUCAACCAAUAACAAAUGCUGGAGGGCUUGUGAGGAAAAA
This is a long non-coding RNA of Cavia porcellus (domestic guinea pig), 11763 nucleotides long. RefSeq lists it as uncharacterized. NCBI's taxonomy places the organism in Eukaryota, Metazoa, Chordata, Mammalia, Rodentia, Caviidae. The transcript is spliced from 2 exons. The record is from RefSeq and is a predicted model, not a curated record.